GACGAACGCUGGCGGCGUGCUUAACACAUGCAAGUCGAACGGAAAGGCCCUGCUUUUGUGGGGUGCUCGAGUGGCGAACGGGUGAGUAACACGUGAGUAACCUGCCCUUGACUUUGGGAUAACUUCAGGAAACUGGGGCUAAUACCGGAUAGGAGCUCCUGCUGCAUGGUGGGGGUUGGAGAGUUUCGGCGGUUGGGGAUGGACUCGCGGCUUAUCAGCUUGUUGGUGGGGUAGUGGCUUACCAAGGCUUUGACGGGUAGCCGGCCUGAGAGGGUGACCGGCCACAUUGGGACUGAGAUACGGCCCAGACUCCUACGGGAGGCAGCAGUGGGGAAUAUUGCACAGUGGGCGGAAGCCUGAUGCAGCAACGCCGCGUGCGGGAUGACGGCCUUCGGGUUGUAAACCGCUUUCGCCUGUGACGAAGCGUGAGUGACGGUAAUGGGUAAAGAAGCACCGGCUAACUACGUGCCAGCAGCCGCGGUGAUACGUAGGGUGCGAGCGUUGUCCGGAUUUAUUGGGCGUAAAGGGCUCGUAGGUGGUUGAUCGCGUCGGAAGUGUAAUCUUGGGGCUUAACCCUGAGCGUGCUUUCGAUACGGGUUGACUUGAGGAAGGUAGGGGAGAAUGGAAUUCCUGGUGGAGCGGUGGAAUGCGCAGAUAUCAGGAGGAACACCAGUGGCGAAGGCGGUUCUCUGGGCCUUUCCUGACGCUGAGGAGCGAAAGCGUGGGGAGCGAACAGGCUUAGAUACCCUGGUAGUCCACGCUGUAAACGGUGGGUACUAGGUGUGGGGUCCAUUCCACGGGUUCCGUGCCGUAGCUAACGCUUUAAGUACCCCGCCUGGGGAGUACGGCCGCAAGGCUAAAACUCAAAGGAAUUGACGGGGCCCCGCACAAGCGGCGGAGCAUGCGGAUUAAUUCGAUGCAACGCGUAGAACCUUACCUGGGUUUGACAUGGAUCGGGAGUGCUCAGAGAUGGGUGUGCCUCUUUUGGGGUCGGUUCACAGGUGGUGCAUGGCUGUCGUCAGCUCGUGUCGUGAGAUGUUGGGUUAAGUCCCGCAACGAGCGCAACCCUUGUUCACUGUUGCCAGCACGUUAUGGUGGGGACUCAGUGGAGACCGCCGGGGUCAACUCGGAGGAAGGUGGGGAUGACGUCAAGUCAUCAUGCCCCUUAUGUCCAGGGCUUCACGCAUGCUACAAUGGCUGGUACAGAGAGUGGCGAGCCUGUGAGGGUGAGCGAAUCUCGGAAAGCCGGUCUCAGUUCGGAUUGGGGUCUGCAACUCGACCUCAUGAAGUCGGAGUCGCUAGUAAUCGCAGAUCAGCAACGCUGCGGUGAAUACGUUCCCGGGGCU
Molecule: ribosomal RNA, 1346 nt
Filed under: uncultured bacterium
Lineage: Bacteria
Description: partial 16S ribosomal RNA
Rfam family: Bacterial small subunit ribosomal RNA
Source: RNAcentral